UCAGCACCAGCCCCGAGAGCGCGGGAAGUGCCCGGAUGCUCCUGCGGGGCACGGAUGCGGGUCCCACGCGCCUGCGUCCUCUUCUCUUGAUGUCUCCCCACUUGCCAGGCUUUGAGGCCCUGGAAGGCCAGCUGACAAUGGGUCAGGAAAUGGUCUGCCUUUGUCCUACUCCACAUGGAGGUGGCGGGUACCUAGACCACAGGAAUGAACUGGCUGGUGCCGUUCUCACCCCUUGGUCACUGAGAAAACUAAGUUCUGAGGGCCCUAGAAGGCCAACUGACAAUGGAUUAGGAUGUAGUCCACCUUUGUCCUGCUCCACCUGGAGAUGCCUGGCAUCCAGGCCACAUGAAUGAGCUAUCUGGUGCCAUUCUUGCCCCUUGAUCACCAAGGAAAUAAAUGGGGUGAUUGGUGCUCACCAGUACCAAACCUUCUCUUGUUAAAAUGAAGUCACAUGGAACUUUUGCAUGGGCUGGCCUGGAAUUGAAAUCCUCCUGCUCUCAGCCUCCCAUGUACCUGAGAUGACAGAUGUGUGCCAUCACAGUCCUCCGGUGACACACAAAGCUGGUGGUUGAGACGAAGCAUUGCAGGUAUAACUAGACUGCUCUUGAACUGAUGUCAACCUCCCAAACAGCUAGCAUUACAGCAUGCGCCUUCAAAACCUUGUUGUAUUCUGAUUUUCUCUAAAGUAGUAUUUGUACAUACUUAGGGUAUACAGUGAGAACACACUCCUUGUUUAGUAUAUAUAAUAAUCAGACUAAUAUAAUCAGCACAUUUAUCUCCUAAAACACUGAUAACUAAUGUACUUUGGUAACCAUGACUCUACCAGUUAUUUUGGAAUAUAUGAUAAAAAUCCAUAAAGGGAUAAUGUGCCCUGGAGAAUUUAGAAGUGGGCAGGGAUAGCGCCAAGUAGGAUUACAGGUAGUAAAUGUAUUUUUAUCCAUUGUUGCUCU
Molecule: long non-coding RNA, 950 nt
Organism: Dipodomys ordii (Ord's kangaroo rat)
Lineage: Eukaryota; Metazoa; Chordata; Mammalia; Rodentia; Heteromyidae
Exons: 4
Source: RefSeq, a predicted model, not a curated record